AUAAAGUGAGAAUUAGAAUAGCUAAGAAAAUUGUAGGAAAUUAUUAACGUAAUUGAAAUAAUGGUUCAAUUUGUUUCCCAAUAACCUAUGGUAAUUAAAAAGUCAUCUUAUUAAUUGAAAAAAAAACUGAUCCUAUUAGCCCUGUAGUAAGAUAUUUAUAUUAAAACUCUAGUAGUCCUAUUAACCUUCUAGUAGACUACUUAAACUAGA
RNAcentral lists this long non-coding RNA (210 nucleotides) under Gossypium barbadense (sea-island cotton). RNAcentral's name for it is "long non-coding RNA (GBAR_LNC020084)". Lineage: Eukaryota; Viridiplantae; Streptophyta; Magnoliopsida; Malvales; Malvaceae. The record is from RNAcentral.